Molecule: non-coding RNA, 932 nt
Organism: Plutella xylostella (diamondback moth)
Lineage: Eukaryota; Metazoa; Arthropoda; Insecta; Lepidoptera; Plutellidae
Source: RefSeq, a predicted model, not a curated record
GGUUCUGAUGAGACUGUCUGGUUUGAUUGAAAUAAUGUAAUGAGUAUGAGCCUACUUAAUCUUUUAAAAUGUAUCAGUUUUCAACACCCUGUACUUUUUAAGUAAGUAUAUAUGUACUUACCUAUCUAACUCUGUUAUCUUGGAUGCGUAACUUGAUAUGCGGGUCCAUACCUAGAAUUCUUGUACAUAUACUGCACCAAAUGGUUUAUUUUACACUAAGCUGAUUAACUAUUAGCUAGUUGUACCUCCAUAAUCCAUUGUAAUUUAAUAAUCCACAGAUCAAAAUGACCCGUUUUUGUAUAUUAUUCCUGGUGGUUUACUUGGUGAUAAAAUGUGAAUAUUCAGCCGGAAAUUCAAUACCUACGAAGUAUCAAAAUGCUAACACAAAAGAAAUUAAAAUUCAGCGUGAUUUAAAUGAAAACGAAUUUUCAAAUAAAAAUGUUGAGGAUGCUGAAGAGGAUGUGAUCGAAAGUGAUUUAGUUGAAAGCGACAAAACCAAACUGGAAAACGAUUUUCCACUUUCCACGGCUAAUGAAAACAAAGGUGAAGAAAAACCAUGCGUUCCGGUCGGACAAUUUUGUGUUGGCCAUUCUGAUUGCUGCAGUAAGUCGUGUUUGGGAUACCUGAAACGAUGCGUUUCAUAAUUACAUAUAAUUAUGUGCUAUUUCUAAGUCUACAAGAGUAUUUCAUGUUAACAUCUUAUUCUUACCUAAAAGAAAUACCUGUAUAGAAGCAGAUUGUAAGGCAUAACAUGAUAAAAUCAAUGCCUAAUUGGGUGGAAGGGAUGAUUUAAAUUGGAUAAAUCUGGAGGGUGAGCAGAAAACUGUUUCAGUUCCUUCAUGGCAUCUUCAGAAAUCUUCCACAGGUCAGGGUAAUUCCUCUUGAAGUCAUUGUACCAUUUAUGAACCUGAAUAAAUAAAAUAUGUUUGUUA